RNAcentral lists this unclassified non-coding RNA (380 nucleotides) under uncultured Rickettsiales bacterium. RNAcentral describes it as "contains 16S-23S intergenic spacer region". The record is from RNAcentral. Lineage: Bacteria; Pseudomonadati; Pseudomonadota; Alphaproteobacteria; Rickettsiales.
UCCGGCUUAUCACCGGCAGUUUCCUCAGAGUUCUCAGCAUUACCUGUUAGCAACAGAGGACGAGGGUUGCGCUCGUUGCGGGACUUAACCCAACAUCUCACGACACGAGCUGACGACAGCCAUGCAGCACCUGUGUCCUGUCCAGCCGAACUGAAGGACUCCUUUUCUGGAGUCCGCGACAGGCAUGUCAAACCCUGGUAAGGUUCUUCGCGUUGCCUCGAAUUAAACCACAUGUUCCACCGCUUGUGCGGGUCCCCGUCAAUUUCUUUGAGUUUUAAUCUUGCGACCGUACUCCCCAGGCGGGGUGCUUAACGCGUUAGCUACGCUACUCAGAGGUAACCUCCGAACAGCUAGCACCCAUCGUUUACAGCGUGGACUAC